AUCUUCUUUGGAUAAGCUGGGGGCUUAUGGAUUAUAAGUUAGGGAUGGUAGGGGGUCGAUUAACUUAAAUGUUUGGUAAUAAUAAGAAUCAGAUUAUGUUUCUUCUUUCAUUUUUCUCUUUUAUAUUUGACUUUUUUUUUGGAGAGUUAUGUUUCUGUUCCUUGUUAUUUCUUUCAUAUUUUCUCCUAGGAUCUGUUGAUUCAGGUUCUUCUUUUUCCUUUCCUCUGGUACUCCGUGAUUCUUAUGUUGGGUCGGAUUAUUUUCGUCAAUCCUCAAUCUUCUGUUUUUCUAUCUAGAUUCUCUAUUUCUUCUAAAUCCACUCUCUUUAUCUGUGAAGUUUUCUCUUGUCUUAAUCUAUCUUUUUGUUAUAGUUGUGGUUGAUCUCAUACUCUUUUCUUAUUUUAGUUUUUUUUUUUCCUUUUUUCUUUUUCUGGCUGUUUUCUUUGCUUCUCUCUUGGUCUAAAUCAGUUUUGAAUCUAAAACUUGGUCUAUCUCUUAGAUCUGUUGAAGGAAAAUUUUAUUUGGUUUUAUUAAAAGUUUUCAAAUGAUAAAUCUUUGUUUCCUUUUUUCUCUGAUCGUUUCUUAUAGUUUUAUAUGAUUACCAAAAUGGUAACCUCCAUGAUUAUUAUGUAUGUUUCCGAUCUUCAACUCUGCCUUUCUUCUUUUCUUCUGGCUUUUCUGAUUUUCUAAAAUUUGCCUCUUAAUCUGUUUGUCCCUUUUCUUAUAUCUGCUUGUUUUUGAACCGAAAAAAUUAAAAUUAAAAUGGAGGGUCUCUUUAAAAGUUGUCUAUCUAUCUCUUUGCCUUCUCUUUUUUAUGGGUGUCUUUCUUUUCCUCUUUAUUGAUCCUAUUUUAUUUUUCUUGAGAACUGUGAUGGUGGUUUUAUCUUGGCUUGUCUUCUUUUGAGAUUGUCUUCUUGGAAGGUCUCAAAUCAAAAUUUUUGUUAUGUUAUUUUGGGAAUGAAUCCAAUUUUUGUUGUCUUAUUUUUAAAUUACUGGUUUGUUCUUGCUUUUCGUCUUCCUCUUUUUUUUUUGUAUCAAAUUCACUUAUCUUUCCUGAAUGAAAAUAAAUAAAUAAAUAAUCCCCUAGACCCUGACCCUAACUCCGCUGAUCCUAAAACAACCCUCAGGCAAGUCCUUUCUUCACCACUUUCUUUGCUUUUAUCUUCUAAUCUCUAGUCUCCUGGCUAUUUUUUUGCGAAUUAUUUUUUAGCGCAGGGGUUUGCUUCCGGAACAGUGUUCGUCCAAGCACAAUGGAAUAAUAAAUUUAUGAGUCUCCAUUUGGUUUGGUUUGGCUAUACGGGGGAAAAUGAAAGCUCCUGUGAAACAACAUGAUGCUGAAAUCAAUACUGGUCGUGUUAUAUUUGGUGGUAUUUUCUCAAAGAUACAACUCUCACCAAUAAAAUCUUUGAUUGUGGAAAAGGUUAAACCGUCAUCCUCAAUCAUUAAGAAGAUAUCUCUUUCCUGUACAUGCUGCAGUGACACUUUUAUCAGACUUGCUCGUGAUAGAAGAGCUCAGGAAUCCAUCUUGAUAGUUUUAUCACACCUUCACAACUUGCUUGUGGAUCCUUACUGCCAGUAUUAGAAGACUAGUCAUUGGGUAACGAUGGAGAACGAAUGCUUCCUAUGUUAUUGAAGAAUUACAAAUGGUUUGGUUAUCUUUGUAUUUUUGGUUUUAGGAUCUUGUCUAGGACUCAUCGCGUUGUGCUCUUUUCCUUUGUCAAGAUUUUAUCCCUUUGGAUUUGGGUUUUCCUUGACAAGGUUUUUAGCGAGGCAACAUAUGCGUGUCCAACACCUUUCGGUGGUUUUCACAUUUACCUUCUAUUUUUCAUUUUUUAUUUUUCAUAUAUUUCCUUUAAUUUGUUAGCCGCAAUAGAUGGUUAUAAGACCAAUGUAACCACGGCUGCUAACGCCAUAAGUUAGUCUUUUUAAUGUAAUACCUAAUUCA
Long non-coding RNA from Papaver somniferum (opium poppy), 1945 nucleotides. RefSeq lists it as uncharacterized. The record is from RefSeq and is a predicted model, not a curated record. The transcript is spliced from 2 exons. Lineage: Eukaryota; Viridiplantae; Streptophyta; Magnoliopsida; Ranunculales; Papaveraceae.